Non-coding RNA from Onchocerca ochengi, 103 nucleotides. The record is from Rfam. NCBI's taxonomy places the organism in Eukaryota, Metazoa, Nematoda, Chromadorea, Rhabditida, Onchocercidae.
GGUUUAACUACCCAAGUUUGAGGUAAUUUAAUGUUUCAGCCCAGAGUUUCGGCUACUGUGGUUUGAAGUGAAAUUUUGGAACGUCCUGUAUCAGCGGGACAAC